AAGAGUAUUCGAAUUAUGAUCCCCGUUGCUACCAGAUGAUGUACGUUUUGUUCAUUACUUCAAGGGAAGAAAUCUUGCUAUAAUGACAGGAGAGAGAUGUUUAUGACCAUAACAGUUAAAUUUCAUGGUGAACGUACUUGGGGUGAUGGGAAGUGCUACCAAACACAGAUUUCCUGUUUUUAAAAAAAAAAAAAAAAAAAGAUUUAGUCUUGACUUCAGUCUUUUGCAGAGAGAAGCAUGUUUUUUAAGAGAGGCAUGUUACAGGAGCAGAUGGUGUAGGCUUUUAUCACUGAUGGCUGUUGGUGUUGAGAGGAAGGCUUGGAAAUCGUAUCUCAGGAAGAACUGUGCUGUUUGGUGUGAGUGCUGGUUACCUUGGACUACUUUGCAGACUGUUUCUGCAAAGUGUCUCCGGUUGUGUGACUGCCUAAACGACUGUUACAGUUUUUCUUAUCCUUAGGCAGAAUGGGUUUACUCUGGCCUCAAGACUGUUCUCAGUCGUCCCUACAAGCUAUUCAAGAGAGCAAAAGGAACGUCCUCUUUGACUGGAACAAAAGGAGAAGCAUAGAUGUGCGGUAUGUUCCUUCUUUUAUGCUUGGUGUAUGAAGAAUUAUCCAUCACAUAAAACAGAGGUGACCAUGACUCAAGAUGUCC
Molecule: long non-coding RNA, 651 nt
Filed under: Struthio camelus australis
Lineage: Eukaryota; Metazoa; Chordata; Aves; Struthioniformes; Struthionidae
Description: lncRNA (ENSSCUG00000007226.1)
Source: RNAcentral